GCAGAGCUGCGGCCAUGCCCGCAGGUGCUAUUGAGCCGGACGAACCCCAAACAUUGGCAGGGGAGCAACAUCGGC
RNAcentral lists this non-coding RNA (75 nucleotides) under unclassified sequences. Its description in RNAcentral is "Burkholderiales-2 RNA". It matches the Rfam family "Burkholderiales-2 RNA". The record is from RNAcentral.